AUACGUAGGGGGCGAGCGUUGUCCGGAAUGAUUGGGCGUAAAGGGCGCGUAGGCGGCCCGGUAAGUCUGGAGUGAAAGUCCUGUUUUUAAGAUGAGAAUUGCUUUGGAUACUGUCGGGCUUGAGUGCAGGAGAGGUAAGUGGAAUUCCCAGUGUAGCGGUGAAAUGCGAAGAGAUUGGGAGGAACACCAGUGGCGAAGGCGACUUACUGGACUGUAACUGACGCUGAGGCGCGAAAGCGUGGGGAGCAAACAGGAUUAGAUACCCUGGUAGUCCACACUGUAAACGAUGAAUGCUAGGUGUAGGGGGUAUCGACCCCUUCUGUGCCGCAGUCAACACAAUAAGCAUUCCGCCUGGGGAGUACGGCCGCAAGGUUGAAACUCAAAUGAAUUGACGGGG
This 397-nucleotide ribosomal RNA is filed under the name uncultured bacterium. Its description in RNAcentral is "partial 16S ribosomal RNA". It matches the Rfam family "Bacterial small subunit ribosomal RNA", at positions 523 to 918 of the family's 1533-position model. The record is from RNAcentral.